CGUGCAGGCGGGUCUGCAAGUCUGAUGUGAAAGCCCCGGGCUCAACCUGGGAAGUGCAUUGGAAACUGUGGAUCUUGAGUUCUGGAGAGGAAGGGGGAAUUCCCGGUGUAGAGGUGAAAUUCGUAGAGAUCGGGAGGAAUACCAGUGGCGAAGGCGCCCUUCUGGACGGCAACUGACGCUGAGACGCGAAAGCGUGGGGAGCAAACAGGAUUAGAUACCCUGGUAGUCCACGCUGUAAACGAUGAGCACUAGGUGUAGCGGGUACUCAUUCCUGCUGUGCCGCAGCUAACGCGUUAAGUGCUCCGCCUGGGGAUUACGGUCGCAAGACUAAA
RNAcentral lists this ribosomal RNA (332 nucleotides) under uncultured bacterium. RNAcentral describes it as "bacterial SSU rRNA". It matches the Rfam family "Bacterial small subunit ribosomal RNA", at positions 568 to 898 of the family's 1533-position model. The record is from RNAcentral.